This 450-nucleotide ribosomal RNA is filed under the name uncultured Glomeromycotina. RNAcentral's name for it is "SSU rRNA". It matches the Rfam family "Eukaryotic small subunit ribosomal RNA", at positions 569 to 1024 of the family's 1831-position model. The record is from RNAcentral. Lineage: Eukaryota; Fungi; Glomeromycota.
AGCAGCCGCGGUAAUUCCAGCUCCAAUAGCGUAUAUUAAAGUUGUUGCAGUUAAAAAGCUCGUAGUUGAAUUUCGAGAUCGGUUUAUUGGUCGUGCUAUUGUACGUACUGGUAUUACCGGUUUCUCCUUUCUGACGAACCUUAAUGCCAUUAAUUUGGUGUUUUGGGAAAUCAGGACUGUUACUUUGAAAAAAUUAGAGUGUUUAAAGCAGGCUCACGCUUGAAUACAUUAGCAUGGAAUAACGGAAUAGGACGUUUGAUUCUAUUUUGUUGGUUUCUAGGAUCGACGUAAUGAUUAAUAGGGAUAGUUGGGGGCAUUAGUAUUCAAUUGUCAGAGGUGAAAUUCUUGGAUUUAUUGAAGACUAACUACUGCGAAAGCAUUUGCCAAGGAUGUUUUCAUUAAUCAAGAACGAAAGUUAGGGGAUCGAAGACGAUCAGAUACCGUCGUAGU